GAUGAACGCUGGCGGCGUGCCUAAUACAUGCAAGUCGAGCGAACGGACGAGAAGCUUGCUUCUCUGAUGUUAGCGGCGGACGGGUGAGUAACACGUGGAUAACCUACCUAUAAGACUGGGAUAACUUCGGGAAACCGGAGCUAAUACCGGAUAAUAUUUUGAACCGCAUGGUUCAAAAGUGAAAGACGGUCUUGCUGUCACUUAUAGAUGGAUCCGCGCUGCAUUAGCUAGUUGGUAAGGUAACGGCUUACCAAGGCAACGAUGCAUAGCCGACCUGAGAGGAUGAUCGGCCACACUGGAACUGAGACACGGUCCAGACUCCUACGGGAGGCAGCAGUAGGGAAUCUUCCGCAAUGGGCGAAAGCCUGACGGAGCAACGCCGCGUGAGUGAUGAAGGUCUUCGGAUCGUAAAACUCUGUUAUUAGGGAAGAACAUAUGUGUAAGUAACUGUGCACAUCUUGACGGUACCUAAUCAGAAAGCCACGGCUAACUACGUGCCAGCAGCCGCGGUAAUACGUAGGUGGCAAGCGUUAUCCGGAAUUAUUGGGCGUAAAGCGCGCGUAGGCGGUUUUUUAAGUCUGAUGUGAAAGCCCACGGCUCAACCGUGGAGGGUCAUUGGAAACUGGAAAACUUGAGUGCAGAAGAGGAAAGUGGAAUUCCAUGUGUAGCGGUGAAAUGCGCAGAGAUAUGGAGGAACACCAGUGGCGAAGGCGACUUUCUGGUCUGUAACUGACGCUGAUGUGCGAAAGCGUGGGGAUCAAACAGGAUUAGAUACCCUGGUAGUCCACGCCGUAAACGAUGAGUGCUAAGUGUUAGGGGGUUUCCGCCCCUUAGUGCUGCAGCUAACGCAUUAAGCACUCCGCCUGGGGAGUACGACCGCAAGGUUGAAACUCAAAGGAAUUGACGGGGACCCGCACAAGCGGUGGAGCAUGUGGUUUAAUUCGAAGCAACGCGAAGAACCUUACCAAAUCUUGACAUCCUUUGACAACUCUAGAGAUAGAGCCUUCCCCUUCGGGGGACAAAGUGACAGGUGGUGCAUGGUUGUCGUCAGCUCGUGUCGUGAGAUGUUGGGUUAAGUCCCGCAACGAGCGCAACCCUUAAGCUUAGUUGCCAUCAUUAAGUUGGGCACUCUAAGUUGACUGCCGGUGACAAACCGGAGGAAGGUGGGGAUGACGUCAAAUCAUCAUGCCCCUUAUGAUUUGGGCUACACACGUGCUACAAUGGACAAUACAAAGGGCAGCGAAACCGCGAGGUCAAGCAAAUCCCAUAAAGUUGUUCUCAGUUCGGAUUGUAGUCUGCAACUCGACUACAUGAAGCUGGAAUCGCUAGUAAUCGUAGAUCAGCAUGCUACGGUGAAUACGUUCCCGGGUCU
This 1372-nucleotide ribosomal RNA is filed under the name uncultured bacterium. RNAcentral's name for it is "bacterial SSU rRNA". It matches the Rfam family "Bacterial small subunit ribosomal RNA", at positions 28 to 1381 of the family's 1533-position model. The record is from RNAcentral.